CUUCUUUCAAGGCAGGAGUCGUGACGUGGAAGGAUUCUGCUUGUGAAAUACAAUUUUGGCAGAAGUGGAUCAUCUGAUGAUCAGAAUGGUUAUUUCUCUUUCCAGGCUGCUGACAGGUUCCUCCCUGACUCAAACUGCCCAUUUGGGCCGAGAAGCCUAUUCUGAGAGACCCCUGCUGUGGAGAGGAGGGAAUACAGCUCUCUGUUCCAGGAGAUCUUGAGAGAAGAUGAAUCUUGUGGACAUCAGGGAGAAGAUAAACCAUUGGCUUCUCAACUUCCAGCACUUUUCAUCCUAUGGGCAGCCAUGAGAUCUUGUGCAGUAGAGAUGGGAGCAGAUGGUAUCUUAACACUUGGACAGACAAAGGAUGCUGACCACAGAUCUCACUCAUGGGCCUGCGUGAAUCCUGUAUCACCACCAUCGUUAAAGUUUCUCUCCGUUGAAGCCCUCUGUGGAACAAGACACAUCUCAAAGCUUCUCUCUGCUUCUUCUGCAUCUCAGAUUUACCAUCUGAUUGAGAUGAGAUGGCUGGAUGGCAUCACCGACUCGAUGGACAUGAGUUUGAGUAAACUCUGGGAGUUGGUGAUGGACAAGGAGACCUGGCGUGCUGCGAUUCAUGGGGUCGCAAAGAGUCGGACACGACUGAGCGACUGAACUGAUUGACUGAUGUUUUAAAACUAAUUUCAGAAAUCACUGGUGCACCACGUUCACCAUAUCUCUGGGGAAAGGAGACGCCAACCUGAGGAGCAACCAUGGGUUGUAAAUGUAGAUAAUCAAGAGCUUGGCCACACCCACCAUCCCUGUGGUCUUACUUUGGUUUGUCCUCAUUCAUUCUGUCUUGAGAUUCAGUUUCUUGUCUGAAUCCAUCGCCUUGCUCUUUUGGGGGCGAUAAACAAUUUCCGUUCAGGCCUUCUUGGACAUCACUUCUAUUUAUUUCACAAUCUGGAACUACUGAGGGUGGUUCCUCGGGUGGAGGAUAAAUCAGAAUUCACUCAGAACCAAAGAGGCAGGGUGAUAUAAGGGAGGGUUUUUAUCUGUGCUAGUGUUUGCUUUGGUGGUACAUACACUUAAAAUGAUUUUAAGUAUUAAAUCAUGCAUGCAAGGCAGGAAAGAGUUAAUCUGUCCCAGCCCCAUAGCGGAGAAGCAUGGGGAAACAUUAGCCAUCUUUGGGGAUAUUCUGUGUUCCAGGAGCUCUAGUAAACACUUUGCAUCUAGUAACUCAAUGACGCCUCACACUCACCAUACUAUGUGUUAGAAACAAUUCUUUUCCUUCAGUUUUCAGAUGAGGACACUGACACUAAAAACUUUUAGCA
Molecule: long non-coding RNA, 1310 nt
Organism: Cervus hanglu yarkandensis (Yarkand deer)
Lineage: Eukaryota; Metazoa; Chordata; Mammalia; Artiodactyla; Cervidae
Source: Ensembl